This 404-nucleotide non-coding RNA is filed under the name Oryza rufipogon (brownbeard rice). The record is from RNAcentral. Lineage: Eukaryota; Viridiplantae; Streptophyta; Magnoliopsida; Poales; Poaceae.
AAGUCUUCUAAGUCUUUGUGACGCAUUCGCAGGUGUGUGAGUGUGAGUGUGGAUGUGAGAGAGAUGCAAGAACUAGUUGAAGACAGUAGUAGGCAGCUCUCCUCUGGCAGGUGCAUUCUAGGUGUUUUGUAAUUGUAUAUGCAUCCAAGGUAUAUACAAUCCGGCCAUGGUACUACAUUGUAAUCAUCCAUGUGAUCGCUUGUAUAUAUACAUGGGGGCCUUUGAUAGACUAUCAUCAUAUAGCGAUUGAAUUCGCCGAAACGGCCUGCCAAAGGAGAGUUGCCCUGCGACUGUCUUUAACUCGAAGUAAUUUAAUUAGAUAGUGUUUUGUUUAGCCCCGGCCGGUUCAUAUCGAUCUCCAAGUCCAAGGUACGUUCGUCGUCACUUGAUUUUGUCAGAAUGGA